AGUGAACGCUGGCGGCAGGCCUAAUACAUGCAAGUCGAACGGCAGCACAGUGGAGCUUGCUCCAUGGGUGGCGAGUGGCGGACGGGUGAGGAAUACAUGGGAAUCUGCCCAGUCGUGGGGGAUAACGUAGGGAAACUUACGCUAAUACCGCAUGCGCCCUUCGGGGGAAAGCCGGGGACCUUCGGGCCUGGCGCGAUUGGAUGAGCCCAUGUUCGAUUAGCUAGUUGGCGGGGUAAAGGCCCACCAAGGCGACGAUCGAUAGCUGGUCUGAGAGGAUGAUCAGCCACACUGGGACUGAGACACGGCCCAGACUCCUACGGGAGGCAGCAGUAGGGAAUAUUGGACAAUGGGCGCAAGCCUGAUCCAGCCAUGCCGCGUGAGUGAAGAAGGCCCUCGGGUUGUAAAGCUCUUUUGUCCGGGAAGAAAAGCAUCGGGCUAAUACCUCGGUGUUCUGACGGUACCGGAAGAAUAAGCACCGGCUAACUUCGU
This 489-nucleotide ribosomal RNA is filed under the name uncultured bacterium. RNAcentral's name for it is "partial 16S ribosomal RNA". It matches the Rfam family "Bacterial small subunit ribosomal RNA", at positions 29 to 506 of the family's 1533-position model. The record is from RNAcentral.